RNAcentral lists this ribosomal RNA (468 nucleotides) under uncultured bacterium. RNAcentral describes it as "partial 16S ribosomal RNA". It matches the Rfam family "Bacterial small subunit ribosomal RNA", at positions 28 to 507 of the family's 1533-position model. The record is from RNAcentral.
GACGAACGCUGGCGGCGUGCUUAACACAUGCAAGUCGAACGGAAAGGCCCUGCUUUUGUGGGGUGCUCGAGUGGCGAACGGGUGAGUAACACGUGAGUAACCUGCCCUUGACUUUGGGAUAACUUCAGGAAACUGGGGCUAAUACCGGAUAGGAGCUCCUGCUGCAUGGUGGGGGUUGGAAAGUUUCGGCGGUUGGGGAUGGACUCGGGGGUUAUCAGCUUGUUGGUGGGGUAGUGGCUUACCAAGGCUUUGACGGGUAGCCGGCCUGAGAGGGUGACCGGGAGCAUGGGGCCUAAGAGAUGGCCGAGAGGCGUACGGGCGGACCGAGUGCGGAGGAGUGACCAAUGGGGGGAGGCCUGAGACAGCUACGCCGCGUGCGGAAGGACGGCUUACGGGUUGUGAACGGCUUGCACCUGUUACGAAGCGUGAAGGACGGUAAUUAAUAAAGAAGAACCGGCUAACUUCGUG